GAUGAAGAACGUAGCGAAAUGCGAUAAGUAAUGUGAAUUGCAGAAUUCAGUGAAUCAUCGAAUCUUUGAACGCACCUUGCGCUCCUUGGCAUUCCGAGGAGCAUGCCUGUUUGAGUGUCAUUACAACCCUCAAGCUCAGCUUGGUGUUGGGCCCCGCCGCCCCGGCGGGCCCUAAAGUCAGUGGCGGUGCCGUCCGGCUCCGAGCGUAGUAAUUCUUCUCGCUCUGGAGGCCCGGUCGUGUGCUCGCCAGCAACCCCCAAUUUUUUUCAGGUUGACCUCGGAUCAGGUAGGGAUACCCGCUGAACUUAAGCAUAUCAAUAAGCGGAGGA
This 329-nucleotide unclassified non-coding RNA is filed under the name soil metagenome. Its description in RNAcentral is "partial contains 5.8S ribosomal RNA, internal transcribed spacer 2, and large subunit ribosomal RNA". The stretch from base 1 to 120 matches the Rfam family "5.8S ribosomal RNA", at positions 35 to 154 of the family's 154-position model. The record is from RNAcentral.